UCAGUAUGUAACCAGAUGCUCCGCAGGGCGUAGCUUUAUACGACCGCAGAGGUUGAACCCUGAACGGUUGGGGAAAGUAUGGACACAACAUUCAAGCUGGAUUCAGCUCUAAAUUUGGAUUGUGAUUAAAUAGUUGACACAGCAUAGGUUUCUGACACAGAAUGAAUGUGUUCUAAUGAACUUAAAAUUUUUGUUUUCUCUUAGAGCAAUUCACUAUGCUGUUGAAUAUUAAUCCUCUCAAAAAAAUGUUUGAAGAAAUUUUCUUUUUUAUUUAUGAAAUUUCAAAUGAGAAAAAUUGAACCCAAUUUUUUUAAUCACAUCCCCCUUUCC
RNAcentral lists this long non-coding RNA (330 nucleotides) under Mytilus galloprovincialis (Mediterranean mussel). Lineage: Eukaryota; Metazoa; Mollusca; Bivalvia; Mytilida; Mytilidae. The record is from RNAcentral.